Molecule: ribosomal RNA, 255 nt
Filed under: uncultured bacterium
Lineage: Bacteria
Description: partial 16S ribosomal RNA
Rfam family: Bacterial small subunit ribosomal RNA
Source: RNAcentral
UAGCGUAGGGGGCAAGCGUUGUCCGGAAUUCAUUGGGCGUAAAGAGCGUGUAGGCGGCUCGGUAAGUCCGCUGUGAAAGUCCAGGGCUCAACCCUGGAAUGCCGGUGGAAACUGUCGAGCUAGAGUCCGGAAGAGGCGAGUGGAAUUCCUGGUGUAGCGGUGAAAUGCGCAGAUAUCAGGAGGAACACCAAUGGCGAAGGCAGCUCGCUGGGACGGUACUGACGCUGAGACGCGAAAGCGUGGGGAGCAAACAGG